RNAcentral lists this ribosomal RNA (372 nucleotides) under uncultured organism. RNAcentral describes it as "bacterial SSU rRNA". It matches the Rfam family "Bacterial small subunit ribosomal RNA", at positions 526 to 896 of the family's 1533-position model. The record is from RNAcentral.
CAGAGGGGGCAAGCGUUGUUCGGAAUUACUGGGCGUAAAGGGCGCGUAGGCGGCCUGCUAAGUCGAACGUGAAAUCCCUGGGCUCAACCCAGGAACUGCGUCCGAUACUGGUUGGCUUGAAUCCGGGAGAGGGAUGUGGAAUCCCAUGUGUAGCGGUGAAAUGCGUAGAUAUCUGGAGGAACACCGGUGGCGAAGGCGACAUCCUGGACCGGUAUUGACGCUGAGGCGCGAAAGCCAGGGGAGCAAACGGGAUUAGAUACCCCGGUAGUCCUGGCCCUAAACGAUGAAUACUUGGUGUGGCGGGUAUCGAUCCCUGCCGUGCCGAAGCUAAUGCAUUAAGCAUUCCGCCUGGGGAGUACGGUCGCAAGGCUG